UGGUGGAGUGAUUUGUCUGGUUAAUUCCGUUAACGAACGAGACCUCGACCUGCUAACUAGUACGACGAAUACCUUCGUGGUAUUCGGGCAAAUAAGCAAGAGACUUAGACUUCUUAGAGGGACUAUUGGUGAUUUAGCCAAUGGAAGUUCGAGGCAAUAACA
This 162-nucleotide ribosomal RNA is filed under the name uncultured eukaryote. RNAcentral's name for it is "partial 18S ribosomal RNA". It matches the Rfam family "Eukaryotic small subunit ribosomal RNA", at positions 1299 to 1458 of the family's 1831-position model. The record is from RNAcentral.